RNAcentral lists this long non-coding RNA (122 nucleotides) under Mustela putorius furo (domestic ferret). RNAcentral's name for it is "lncRNA (ENSMPUG00000026457.1)". Lineage: Eukaryota; Metazoa; Chordata; Mammalia; Carnivora; Mustelidae. The record is from RNAcentral.
CACGGUGAUGGUAGAAAUAGCUCUUUCCAGAAAGGUGUGAGCAGGAACCCAAGAUUCUGGAGGACAACAAGAACCCCAAUGAAUUUAAUAUAUAUUUGGAGAGAGAAAAUGCUCUUCCUUAG